ACUCAAAGGAAUAGACGGGGGCCCGCACAAGCAGCGGAGCGUGUGGUUUAAUUCGAUGCAACGCGAAGCACCUUACCGGGGCUUGACAUGCGCAGGCACCAGGGGUAAUGCCCUGUUCCUUCGGGACCUGUGCACAGGUGCUGCAUGGCUGUCGUCAGCUCGUGCCGUGAGGUGUUGGGUUAAGUCCCCUAACGAGCGCAACCCCUGGGGUCCGUUGUAGUUUUCGGGCCCGACUGCCGCGCGCAACGCGGAGGAAGGUGGGGAUGACGUCAAGUCAGCACGGCCCUGACGUCCCGGGCGACACACACGCUACAAUGGCCGCGACAAUGGGUUGCCAACCCGCGAGGGGGAGCCAAUCCCAGGCAAACGCGGUCUCAGUUCGGAUUGCAGGCUGCAACUCGCCUGCAUGAAGCUGGAGUUGCUAGUAACCGCGGGUCAGCACACCGCGGUGAAUACGUUCCCGGGCCUUGUACACACCGCCCGU
This 484-nucleotide ribosomal RNA is filed under the name uncultured bacterium. RNAcentral's name for it is "partial 16S ribosomal RNA". It matches the Rfam family "Bacterial small subunit ribosomal RNA", at positions 899 to 1397 of the family's 1533-position model. The record is from RNAcentral.